This 253-nucleotide ribosomal RNA is filed under the name uncultured bacterium. RNAcentral describes it as "partial 16S ribosomal RNA". It matches the Rfam family "Bacterial small subunit ribosomal RNA", at positions 524 to 776 of the family's 1533-position model. The record is from RNAcentral.
UACGAAGGGGGCUAGCGUUGUUCGGAAUUACUGGGCGUAAAGCGCGCGCAGGCGGCUAUCCAAGUCAGUGGUGAAAGCCCGGAGCUCAACUCCGGAACUGCCAUUGAAACUGUUUAGCUUGAGGAUGAGAGAGGUGAGUGGAAUUCCCAGUGUAGAGGUGAAAUUCGUAGAUAUUGGGAAGAACGCCGGUGGCGAAGGCGGCUCACUGGCUCAUUACUGACGCUCAGGCGCGAUAGCGUGGGGAUCAAACAGG